This 253-nucleotide ribosomal RNA is filed under the name uncultured bacterium. RNAcentral's name for it is "partial 16S ribosomal RNA". It matches the Rfam family "Bacterial small subunit ribosomal RNA", at positions 524 to 776 of the family's 1533-position model. The record is from RNAcentral.
UACGUAGGUGGCAAGCGUUGUCCGGAUUUAUUGGGUUUAAAGGGUGCGUAGGCGGCCUUGUAAGUCAGUGCUGAAAUAUCCCGGCUUAACCGGGAGGGUGGCAUUGAUACUGCAGGGCUUGAGUAAAGUUGAGGUUGGCGGAAUUGACGGUGUAGCGGUGAAAUGCUUAGAUAUCGUCAAGAACACCGAUAGUGAAGACAGCUUACCAAGCUUCAACUGACGCUGAGGCACGAAAGUGUGGGGAUCAAACAGG